RNAcentral lists this ribosomal RNA (469 nucleotides) under uncultured bacterium. RNAcentral's name for it is "partial 16S ribosomal RNA". It matches the Rfam family "Bacterial small subunit ribosomal RNA", at positions 28 to 507 of the family's 1533-position model. The record is from RNAcentral.
GACGAACGCUGGCGGCGUGCUUAACACAUGCAAGUCGAACGGUGAAGCGAGUGCUUGCACUCGUGGAUCAGUGGCGAACGGGUGAGUAACACGUGAGUAACCUGCCCAUCACUCUGGGAUAAGCACUGGAAACGGUGUCUAAUACUGGAUACGACCAACCCUUGCAUGGGGUGUUGGUGGAAAGAUUUAUCGGUGAUGGAUGGACUCGCGGCCUAUCAGCUUGUUGGCGGGGUAAUGGCCCACCAAGGCGACGACGGGUAGCCGGCCUGAGAGGGUGACCGGCCACACUGGGACUGAGACACGGCCCAGACUCCUACGGGAGGCAACAGUGGGGAAUAUUGCACAAUGGGCGAAAGCCUGAUGCAGCGACGCCGCGUGAGGGAUGACGGCCUUCGGGUUGUAAACCUCUUUCAGCAGGGAAGAAGCGAAAGUGACGGUACCUGCAGAAGAAGCACCGGCUAACUACGUG